RNAcentral lists this ribosomal RNA (489 nucleotides) under uncultured bacterium. RNAcentral describes it as "partial 16S ribosomal RNA". It matches the Rfam family "Bacterial small subunit ribosomal RNA", at positions 28 to 523 of the family's 1533-position model. The record is from RNAcentral.
GACGAACGCUGGCGGCGUGCUUAACACAUGCAAGUCGAGCGGAAAGGCCCUUUCGGGGGUACUCGAGCGGCGAACGGGUGAGUAACACGUGAGUAAUCUGCCCUUGGCUUUGGGAUAACCACCGGAAACGGUGGCUAAUACCGGAUAUGACGCGCCCCGGCAUCGGGGGGGGUGGAAAGUUGUUUCGGCCAGGGAUGUGCUCGCGGCCUAUCAGCUUGUUGGGGGGGUAAUGGCCUACCAAGGCUUCGACGGGUAGCCGGCCGGAGAGGGUGACCGGCCACACUGGGACUGAGACACGGCCCAGACUCCUACGGGAGGCAGCAGUGGGGAAUAUUGGACAAUGGGCGGAAGCCUGAUCCAGCAACGCCGCGUGAGGGAUGACGGCCUUCGGGUUGUAAACCUCUUUCAGUACCGACGAAGCGCCGAUGAUGGUGGUGACGGUAGGUACAGAAGAAGCACCGGCCAACUACGUGCCAGCCGCCGCCGUAA